This is a long non-coding RNA of Rattus norvegicus (Norway rat), 1056 nucleotides long. RefSeq lists it as uncharacterized. Lineage: Eukaryota; Metazoa; Chordata; Mammalia; Rodentia; Muridae. The record is from RefSeq and is a predicted model, not a curated record.
AGUGCUGCCCACUCAGGGUGGGUCUUCUCACGUCAGUUAACGCGACGUAGAAAAUCGAUUCCAGACGUGCCCAGGAACUUGUCUCCUAGUGAGAAGCAGGCUGUCUAAACUCUUGUAGGCCAGCCCUUCGAUCUGCUAAUGGUCUGGACUUCUAGCCAGCAGAUACUGAGACAUACACGACAACUAUUUAAGCCACCUAGCCACUAAAGCUUUAGAGCUGCCUGGAUCAAGUCAGAGGCCUAAGGAGUUCUUGUUCAACGUAGCACAGGACUGGCCAGUGGGAUCUGACCUUUAUUUUGCCUUGCCUCAGCACCUGCGUCUGCCUCAGCUGACAUCACUCUGCCAACAGCCUGAGUCCUUAGAAGUGUCGAGAAGCUGCAGCACACCGCCAGAAGUUUUAACUGGUCUGUCUCUCUCUGUUGGAGUCCCAACAAAUGCAGCUCAACUACACCAGUUUCUAGAGCCAAGAAGUUCCUGCCCAGGUUUAAACCAGUUCUAGUUGGUUUCGUCACUGGCAACCAACAAAGUCUGACUAAGUCCUCAAGUAUACUCUCCUAUCCACGGAUUGAGCAGCCCCGUGUUCACCAAGACAGCCGUCAGAAGGACCAGCAAUUUGGCAGUAGGUAAAGGCAUUUGUCCCCAAAUGUGAUGACCUGAGGUUUGAAGUUGAUUUCGUGUCCACGCAGUGGAAGGAGAGAACCAGCUCUUGUGAGUUGUCCUCUGAUCUCCACAUAUACUGUGGCCUGUGUGUGCUUCACCCCAAUGUACAACAACAACAACAACAACAACACCAACACCAACACCCGAGAAGGAGCAAACACCAGAAACAGUGCCCGGGAAGCAGCUUGCACACCGCCCAGCUCAGCCCUCUUCACUGAGUUUCUCGUCCAGCUCCAUCGUGGACAGAUAUUCAAUACUUCCUUUAGGAGAACACAUACAUUUGUUUGACUUGCAAUAUUGAAUUUGGAGGCCGUUCAGCAAUUUCAAAUUUCAGGAGUGGGGCAGUGGGGAGACACCGUAAAUUAAAAAAUUCUUUCCUCUUCGGUUUCUACCCAA